RNAcentral lists this ribosomal RNA (497 nucleotides) under uncultured bacterium. Its description in RNAcentral is "partial 16S ribosomal RNA". It matches the Rfam family "Bacterial small subunit ribosomal RNA", at positions 28 to 507 of the family's 1533-position model. The record is from RNAcentral.
GACGAACGCUGGCGGCGUGCCUAAUACAUGCAAGUAGAACGCUGAAGAGAGGAGCUUGCUCUUCUUGGAUGAGUUGCGAACGGGUGAGUAACGCGUAGGUAACCUGCCUUGUAGCGGGGGAUAACUAUUGGAAACGAUAGCUAAUACCGCAUAACAAUGGGUGACACAUGUCAUUUAUUUGAAAGGGGCAAUUGCUCCACUACAAGAUGGACCUGAGUUGUAUUAGCUAGUAGGUGAGGUAAUGGCUCACCUAGGCGACGAUACAUAGCAGACCUGAGAGGGUGAUCAGCCAAACUGGGACUUAGACGCCGCUCAAACUGCUACUGGAGGCAGCAGUAGGGCAUCUUCGGCAAUGGGGGCAACACUGACCGAGCAACGCCGCGAGAGUGUAGAAGAGUUUCGGAUCGUAAAGCUCUGUUGUACGUCAAGAACGGGUGUGAGAGUGGAAAGUUCACACUGUGACGGUAGCUUACCAGAAAGGGACGGCUAACUACGUG